UACGAAGGGGGCUAGCGUUGUUCGGAAUCACUGGGCGUAAAGCGCACGUAGGCGGAUUGUUAAGUCAGGGGUGAAAUCCCGGAGCUCAACUUCGGAAUUGCCUUUGAUACUGUCUGUCUUCGAGUUCGGGAGAGGUUGGCGGAAUUCCUAGUGUAGAGGUGAAAUUCGUAGAUAUUAGGAAGAACACCAGUGGCGAAGGCGGCCAACUGGCCCGAUACUGACGCUCAUGUGCGAAAGCGUGGGGAGCAAACAGG
Molecule: ribosomal RNA, 254 nt
Filed under: uncultured bacterium
Lineage: Bacteria
Description: partial 16S ribosomal RNA
Rfam family: Bacterial small subunit ribosomal RNA
Source: RNAcentral